UCUCCCUGCCACUCCCUGGCUGGGGCUUUUAUAUCUUGUCACUGGGAAGAUUCGCUGCCUUUUAUAGGCACAGCCAUUGCAGUCUUAUUUGUCCUAUUUUUGUGCUCCUAAUCAAGGCUUAUGUAACCUGCUGAUCCACUCUCAUAUGUUCACUGUGAUAUUGUUUUUCACCAUUGAAAGGCCAUUCUUUCCAAUGAGCUGGAGAUUCUGUGGUGCAUUCCUACGCUGACACCAACUGCUAUGGCUGUUAAUUCAUAGUCAAAGGUGUCUGUUUACAGUUGUGGCUGUUGUUGGAAAUGGAACUUGGACCACCAACUCAUUUCACAUAAGUGGAUGGUACACCUUUUGGUCACUAGAAACCUGUCCUGCAUGCUAAUUAGUGGAAGAAUAUCCUAUUAUUAGUCCUUUGAGCUAUCUAGUAACUGGUGUGAACUUAGUUUAUAAUUGAUUAUUGAUCUGUUAUACCAUAAUGAGUUUCCUGGCACCACUGCAGUCUAUUGGGUUAAUCUAGCUACUAAACAUGCAUACUGAGUGGUUUAGUCCUCCCUCAGUAUAGCUUGUGCAUAGCUCUUAUUCACAUUAAUGGGAGCUACGUGCUCACACUGAGGAAAGGAAUACUUAUUAGGUUGCAUGUUACAAACUCCAGAGAAAUGAUUGCAAGGCAAGUCUAGUGUUCAUGGCCAAGGGCUGAUUUUUUAAAAUGAAUAUCUCAGCUGUUCUUUCUAUGCAAAAACCAAAAACCAAACAAAAAAAAAACACUGCUAGACAGUGUCACUACAUAAUAACUGUCUAAAUGUCAUUGUUAUAUCACACCUAGUUUUGCGUUACUGUACCUAAGCUUAAAAAAAUAUUCCAAAAUAUAUGAGUUUCUUAAUUUCACUAUACCUAGGUUUGUUCUGGCCACAUUGAAAUCAAUAGGAGUUCUGCACUGACUUCAAAAGGAAGAAGAUCAUGCCUUAAGAUAUGUGCUACAUUUGUGCACAAAAAUCAUCCUGCUCUCUGCUGACAUCCCAUGUUUUAGAACUUUUAGCCCAGACAGGAUAUUUAUUGACAGGCUGUAAACUCCUGAACAAUGAGAUUUAUAAGGGGAAAUGCACUGCUGACACAAUAUUAGAUACCGGGCCAAAUUCAUUCCUGGUGUAAUUCAGUGACAUUGGGUGAAGUCACUAGGCUAUAUAUUUGUGAGCAGCGAUGUCAUAAUUUGCCCAAUUCCACACUGAGAUCACCCAGAUAUGUAAUCUACCUGUCUUGAUGACUUUAAUAUUAUAGAACUAGGGACAGAAAUUUCCAUGGGAUUUGGGCAUCUAAAUCUCUUAGUUUCCUUUAAAAAAUCCCAUCCUGGACUCAGGGCAAGGUAAGGGAGGCUCAUCUAUGAGCAGUGCUGGUCUUGGUGGGAUUCCAAAAGGGUGUGGACAUUUAUUUGGGUAACAAGAAUAUCCAGAUUAAUGAAUGUGCACUCGGUGCACUUGCACAUACCAGGGGGAAUGCUCUCCCCCGCCCCUCAAAACAACUCUGGGACAGGGAGAGGGCAGGUCAUCAUCUGGAGAGGGCCCUGCCUGCACGCUAUGGCAAGAGCUCACUGGCCGGAGUGGGCAGGCCUGCAAAGCCUGCAGGACAAGAGCUGCUGCAGGAUGAGUGUGGGGUGGGCUCACUUUUCAAUAACCCUCCCCCUGGGACCUCCCACCCCUGGGGCCAGUGGAGAUGUGGGGUCCCCCAUUGCCAUACUACAUAGGGCCACAACAUUCUUUAAUUGGGCAAUGCCACAGUUAUCAUAAUUAAUGCUAACAAAGUUUGGAAGAGAUGUUAACCCUCAUACUAAUCUGAUCACUAAAUAUUAGAAAUUAGGAGGAAACCUAAUGUGGAGAACAGAUUAUCCUACAUGUGAGCUUUCUUGCAUGGUUCUCUGCUGCAACUGGUGCUGGCCGUUGUCAGAAACAGGAUGCUGGAGUACAUGGCCCAUAGGCAAUGCUCUGAUGUCUUGCAAUACAUUUACAACUGAUGUCCUCCAGAGUAUACUUGAUACUAGAUACUUUCAAAAGAUCAUAUAUUAAGGGUCAGAUUCUGACAAGCUUACUUAUGUUGAUUAAUAACUUAAUGUAAAGGUGGCUGAAUUUAGUCUUGAAGGAAUAGGUUAUAUUUUUAAUCUCCCAGAUACCUCUGAGAAUACGGUUAUUAUAUUUAUAUCAGAUUAUUAUAUUUUUCAUGCACCGAAGGCCUGAUUUUCAGGUAGUCAUAAAUCAAUUGGAAAGUGGGCCACAAACCCAUAUGUACUAUAGAAUAAUAAUAACUAGGUGUUUCAGUGCCACGUAAAGAAAUAAUCCGCAUAACAAAAUAUUCUUCCAGUGAUUUGGUAUGGUUGCCUCCUAGAAAUUGGAAGACCUAGAGUUGUUGGUUUCAGGACCUCCGAGGCAGGUCCUGAAUACCAUGGUAGCUGAAUGCAUAUGUUUACUAUUACUUAUUCCACAUAUUUGUUUAAUCACGUAAAUAAAUGAAUGUUGCAUCGCAUGACCUUUCUGGGUUCCUUUCUGGGUUCUUUCAUAUUAGUUUUGCUCUUGUUUAUUUUUGUACGUUUCAUUAUUAAUGAGCCUGGAAGUACUUUACUCUUUCAUGUCAU
Molecule: long non-coding RNA, 2614 nt
Organism: Mauremys reevesii (Reeves's turtle)
Lineage: Eukaryota; Metazoa; Chordata; Testudines; Geoemydidae
Exons: 3
Source: RefSeq, a predicted model, not a curated record